Solanum lycopersicum (tomato) is the source of this 454-nucleotide non-coding RNA. NCBI's taxonomy places the organism in Eukaryota, Viridiplantae, Streptophyta, Magnoliopsida, Solanales, Solanaceae. The record is from RefSeq and is a predicted model, not a curated record.
UUGAGAGCCAUGAAGUCUUAAGGUUCAAAUUACGGUAGAGGCAAAAACACUAGGCGAUCCUUUCCAUUUAUUCUAGCCUUCGAUUGACGGAGAUAAGUUACCUGAUACUUGUUGCAGGUGAAAAGUGGAAGAUAUUCAUGAAAUUAGUCCAAGGGCGUCAAAGCUGGCAAUUCUUUAGUUUAUCGUUAUCUUCCAGUCACUAAAGUAAUUAUCUUAGCCCAAAAUAGAAGGUUUAACAAUCAACCUGUUCAGAUCGCGCUCUUUUUAGCUCAUCUCAUCCCAACCUUUGGUCAGCCAAUACAGGUAUAACUAAUUAUACUGCAUCAGUAAGUUAACUAAGACUUAAACAGUCAAAUUUACAGACAGAUGCAAAGCUAAUUGAUGAUGCUACACUUGUUAACAGUGAAACUUCCUCAAAAACCCCAAUUUUUCCACCAAGAAACCAAAAAAAAAA